Molecule: non-coding RNA, 28 nt
Filed under: Rattus norvegicus (Norway rat)
Lineage: Eukaryota; Metazoa; Chordata; Mammalia; Rodentia; Muridae
Source: RNAcentral
UAGAUGAUGUUACUGAACCAACAUGUCA